RNAcentral lists this ribosomal RNA (217 nucleotides) under uncultured bacterium. RNAcentral's name for it is "partial 16S ribosomal RNA". It matches the Rfam family "Bacterial small subunit ribosomal RNA", at positions 524 to 740 of the family's 1533-position model. The record is from RNAcentral.
UACGUAGGGUGCGAGCGUUGUCCGGAAUUAUUGGGCGUAAAGAGCUUGUAGGCGGUUUGUCGCGUCUGCUGUGAAAUCUCAAGGCUCAACCUUGAGCUUGCAGUGGGUACGGGCAGACUAGAGUGUGGUAGGGGAGACUGGAAUUCCUGGUGUAGCGGUGAAAUGCGCAGAUAUCAGGAGGAACACCGAUGGCGAAGGCAGGUCUCUGGGCCACUAC